Molecule: ribosomal RNA, 2990 nt
Filed under: Candidatus Syntrophocurvum alkaliphilum
Lineage: Bacteria; Bacillati; Bacillota; Clostridia; Eubacteriales; Syntrophomonadaceae
Description: 23S ribosomal RNA
Rfam family: Bacterial large subunit ribosomal RNA
Source: RNAcentral
UUAGGUCAAGAUAUUAAGGGCGUACGGUGGAUGCCUAGGCGCUAAGAGGCGAAGAAGGACGUGGCAAGCGGCGAAACGCCACGGGGAGCUGCAAGCGAGCGUAGAACCGUGGAUAUCCGAAUGGGGAAACCCGUUAGAGGCAAACCUCUAACAUCCUUACCUGAAAACAUAGGGUAAGGAGGCAAGACCCGGUGAACUGAAACAUCUAAGUAACCGGAGGAAGAGAAAUCAAAACGAGAUUUCCUAAGUAGCGGCGAGCGAAAGGGAAAGAGCCCAAACCUAAUAUGUGUAAGGCUGCAACCGUUGCAUAAUAGGGGUUGAGGGGCUAUUUAGGAACAACUUGCAGGUUGUUCAAAGCUUAAACUAACUAGUUAGGCGAACGUAUCUGGAAAGAUAGACCACAGAGAGUGAAAGUCUCGUAGCUAAAAACAAGUUAGAGCUUAAAAUAGACCCCGAGUACUGCCGGACACGUGGAACCCGGUAGGAAGCAGGGAGGACCACCUUCCAAGGCUAAAUACUCCUUAGCGACCGAUAGAGAAGAGUACCGUGAGGGAAAGGUGAAAAGCACCCCGGAAGGGGAGUGAAACAGAACCUGAAACCGUAUGCCUACAAGCAGUAGGAGCCCGAUUAAAACGGGUGACUGCGUACCUUUUGUAUAAUGGGCCAGCGAGUUAUGGUAUUAAGCAAGGUUAAAUCUAGAAAGGAUGGAGCCGUAGCGAAAGCGAGUCUUAAAAGGGCGAUGAGUUUAAUGCUGUAGACCCGAAACUGAGUGACCUAUCCAUGGCCAGGAUGAAGCGAUGGUAACACAUCGUGGAGGUCCGAACCAGAGUACGUUGAAAAGUGCGUGGAUGAGCUGUGGAUAGAGGUGAAAUGCUAAUCGAACUCAGAGAUAGCUGGUUCUCCCCGAAAUAGCUUUAGGGCUAGCGUCAAAGAAUUCCUUAUGGGGGUAGAGCACUGGAUAGGCUAGGGGCCCUACCAGGUUACCGAACCUUCCCAAACUCCGAAUACCAUAAGGUUAGAAAAUGGCAGUCAGUCUAUGGGUGAUAAGGUUCAUAGACGAGAGGGAAACAGCCCAGACCGUCAGCUAAGGUCCCAAAAUCUAUGCUAAGUGGGAAAGGAAGUAGAGUUGCUUAGACAGCCAGGAUGUUGGCUUAGAAGCAGCCACCAUUUAAAGAGUGCGUAAUAGCUCACUGGUCAAGUGGCUCUGCGCCGAAAAUUCAACGGGGCUAAGCAUAGUACCGAAGCUACGGAACCGAGAGGUUGGUAGGGGAGCAUUCCUAAAAGGCAGAAGCUAUACCGUGAGGAGUAGUGGACAAUUAGGAAGAGAGAAUGCUGGCAUAAGUAACGAGAAGGCAGGUGAGAAUCCUGCCCGCCGAAAACCUAAGGAUUCCUGGGGAAGGCUCGUCCGCCCAGGGUAAGCCGGGACCUAACCCGAGGCCGAAAGGCGUAGGGGAUGGACAACUGGUUGAGAUUCCAGUGCCACCUGUAAGCCGUUAUCAGCGAAGGGGUGACGCAGGAGGGUAGGUGAAGCGCACGGAUGGAAGAGUGCGUCCAAGCACGUAGGGUGCCAGGUAGGCAAAUCCGCCUGGCAAAAAGCCUGAGGUGUUAAGGGAAGGGAAAAAUAGUACCGAAGUCACUGAGCCCAAACUGCCAAGAAAAGCCUCUAGUGAGGAAAACAGGUGCCCGUACCGAAAACCGACACAGGUAGGUGAGGAGAGAAUCCUAAGGCGCGCGAGAGAACCCUCGUUAAGGAACUCGGCAAAAUGACCCCGUAACUUAGGGAGAAGGGGUGCUCUGCUAGCGUGAAUAUAUAACCAUAUAUGAGCGUGAGAGAGCCGCAGUGACCAGGCCCAGGCGACUGUUUACCAAAAACACAGGUCUCUGCAAAAUCGAAAGAUGAAGUAUAGAGGCUGACGCCUGCCCGGUGCCGGAAGGUUAAGGGGAAUGGUUAGCUUUCGGGCGAAGCUAUGAACCGAAGCCCCGGUGAACGGCGGCCGUAACUAUAACGGUCCUAAGGUAGCGAAAUUCCUUGUCUGGUAAGUUCAGACCCGCACGAAAGGCGUAACGAUCUGGGCACUGUCUCAACGAGGGACUCGGUGAAAUUGUAGUACCGGUGAAGAUGCCGGUUACCUGCGAUAGGACAGAAAGACCCCGUGGAGCUUUACUGUAGCCUGAUAUUGGAUUUUGGUAGUACAUGUACAGGAUAGGUGGGAGACUAAGAAGGUAGGUCGCAAGGCUUACUGGAGUCACUGGUGGGAUACCACUCUUGUACUGCUGGAAUUCUAACCUAGCACCGUAAUCCGGUGCAGGGACAGUGUCAGGUGGGCAGUUUGACUGGGGCGGUCGCCUCCCAAAGAGUAACGGAGGCGCCCAAAGGUUCCCUCAGCGCGGAUGGAAAUCGCGCGAAGAGUGUAAAGGCAAAAGGGAGCUUGACUGCGAGAGAGACAUUUCGAGCAGGGACGAAAGUCGGGCUUAGUGAUCCGGCGGUACCGAGUGGAAGGGCCGUCGCUCAUCGGAUAAAAGCUACCCCGGGGAUAACAGGCUUAUCUCCCCCAAGAGUCCAUAUCGACGGGGAGGUUUGGCACCUCGAUGUCGGCUCAUCACAUCCUGGGGCUGGAGAAGGUCCCAAGGGUUGGGCUGUUCGCCCAUUAAAGUGGUACGUGAGCUGGGUUCAGAACGUCGUGAGACAGUUCGGUCCCUAUCCAUCGCAGGCGUAGGAAAAUUGAGAGGAUCUGUCCCUAGUACGAGAGGACCGGGAUGGACAGACCGCUGGUGUACCAGUUGUCUCGCCAGAGGCACAGCUGGGUAGCUAUGUCUGGGAAGGAUAAGCGCUGAAAGCAUCUAAGCGCGAAGCCAUCCUCAAGAUAAAUUUUCCCAUUCCGUCAAGGAAGUAAGAUCCCAUCAAGAUUAGGUGGUUGAUAGGUCGGGAGUGUAAGUGUAGCAAUGCAUUAAGCUGACCGAUACUAAUAGAUCGAGGGCUUGACCUAAAA